RNAcentral lists this ribosomal RNA (250 nucleotides) under uncultured bacterium. Its description in RNAcentral is "partial 16S ribosomal RNA". It matches the Rfam family "Bacterial small subunit ribosomal RNA", at positions 524 to 772 of the family's 1533-position model. The record is from RNAcentral.
UACGUAGGGACCGAGCGUUGUCCGGAUUCAUUGGGCGUAAAGAGCUCGUAGGCGGCUGCUCAAGUCGAAUGUGAAAACCCGGGGCUCAACCCCGGGCCUGCAUUCGAUACGGGCAGACUAGAGUUCGGUAGGGGGAGUCUGGAAUUCCUGGUGUAGCGGUGAAAUGCGCAGAUAUCAGGAGGAACACCGGUGGCGAAGGCGGGACUCUGGGCCGAUACUGACGUGGAGGAGCGAAAGCGUGGGGAGCGAA